UAAGUGUAGGCCAAUUGAUGGAGGAAGUUGGACUUUCUUAUCCUGCCUCUCCACCCCCUCCUCUUAAAAAAAAAGGCAAGAAAUUUAUUAAUAAGGCGCUAUUUGUUUUCGACUUCAAAUCAAUUAUAUGUGUUUGUGUGUGUGUGUGUGUGUGUGUGUGUGUGUGUGUGUGUGUGUUUGCACACGUACCAAAAAGGGGUUAAAAAAAAGUCUAUAUAUCACAAGCUGUGAGCGCCCAUGAAUAAAGGGAAGUGAUAUAUAAACGACAACGUGCAGAGGACGCGCACAGUCCUGAACAUUCAGUUUAAAAUGUCCCUCUGUGAGUGAGGAUGGGGCACGGGGUUGAAGAGAGAGAGAUUCAUACACACUGACUUAGCCUGAUCUGACUGAUUCAAAACGCACAGAACUUCGACCAGAAGCAGCAUAACUUGCAUCUCAAAGAAUUUUCUCCCGGCCAAAGUUGUAAGGUGAAGUGCAAAGAUGCAGACGACCAGAAGUCGAAGGCUGGUGGAUUCUGCUCCCUGGAUGAGAUUGUUGCUCCGCGUGUGUGUGUGUGUGUGUGUGUGUGUGUGUGUGUGUGUGUGUGUGUGUGUCUGUGUGUGUGUGUCUCUCUCUCUCUCUCUCUCUGAAGCAAGAAGUGAAACAACCUUCAACUGUGAAAACAAGUCAAACUCACAAGGUCCUGUCCCCACUGCUACCUCCAUUUCAGUACACUCCAAAACGAGCUGGAAAUUGCAACAGGAGUUGCCUUUUUCUGAGGAAAGGAGUGUCUUUGGAAAAUCCCAGGGUUUCAAAAGCUGAGUUUAUUUAAAGCAUGGAUUGACAGCCUUUAGGAAUGUCCUGGCAUCUGCAGAAGGUGAAGAUUGGCCUUUAGGAUCCUCACAAGCAACUCCCCAGGAGCAAUAUCUGAACAGCAAUGUCCUGGAAUUUCAUUGUUCAUUUCACGGACUCCAAGACAAUUCAGGAGAAUUGGCAAACCUUAGACAAGUCUGGGAUUUGACUCAUGGCAUACUUGGAAAGCCCUAAAAGGGGACCAGAACUGUUGCUGAGCAACAGGCCAAAUCCAGUGUGGAAUUGUGGAAUCCAAUUAGAUCUGGGUCAAUGAAAAGCAACAAAAUAGACAUUUUUGUGGGAGCACCAAAACUGAUUUCUCCUGGCUUUUUGUCAUGACCACUUGCAAGGAAUUUAUUUAAGGCCUUCAACACGUACCAUUGAGAGCACGUAGCACAGCAAGCAACAGUAGCAGCGGACAAUGGCAUUGACAACCGCGGUUUAAUGAACACAGCAAUUUUGGAUUGGGACAAUAUGUCAGAGUCAUAGAGAAGUACAGCACAGAAACAGGACCUUCAGCCCAUCUAGUCCAUGCUGAAAUCAUUUAAGCUACCUACUCCCAUCAACCUGCACCGAGAUCAUAGCCCUCCAUAACCCUACCAUCUGUGUACCUAUCCAAACUUCAGUGUUGAAAUUGAGCACGCUGGCAGCUGAUUCCACAGUCUCAUGACCCUCUGAGUGACAAAAUUCAAAGGUUCACUUUAUUAUCAAAAUAUGUAUGCAGAAUAUAACUCUGAAAUUUGUCUCUUCUCCAGAUAGCAAUAGAAUACAGAAAACCACAUGAAUAGUUGAAAGACAUCAAUCCCCCUCCCUCGCACAAAAAGAAAAAGAAACAAAAACUUGCAAACCCCAAACACCCCCAACUCCUCCCUUACGCAAAAAAACUUAACAGAUCACCAAAACCCCCAGCCCACAAAAUCGGCAACAAGAAAGAGUGGGUAAGAACACGAAAAAAUAUUGAAUUGAAAGAGCUCAAUAUGAACUACAGUCCAAUCCAUACAAUCUCAGAAUUUCGAUAACAUCUUCGAGAGCAUGGGAACACAGCGGCCCACCUGAGAACUGUGGCUCUGGUUGUAGUCCCACCCAACCGCAGUGGAAAAAGCCUGCUUGCAUUUACCCUAUUUGUACCCCUCAUAAUUUUAUAUACCUCUGUCAAAUCUCCCCUCAAUCUUCUACUUUCUAAAGAAUACAGUCCUAACCUAUUCAAUCUUUCCUUGUAACUCGGGUCCUCCAGACCCAGCAACAUCCUUGUAAAUUUUCUCUGUAUUCUUUCAACCUUAUUUACAUCUUUCCUGUAGGUAAGUGACCAAAAUUGCACACAGUACUCCAAAUUAGGCCCCACCAAUGUCCUGUACAACUUCAACAUAACAUCCCAACUACUCAAUAAUUGAUCAUUGAAGGCCAAUAUUGCCAGAAGCUUUCUUUACAACCCUAUCUACCUGUGACACCACUUUCAAUGAAUUAUGUACCUGUAUUCCCAGAUCCCUUUGUUCUACCACACUCCUCAGUGCCCUACCAACCGGUGUAAGACCUACCCCGGUUGGUCCUACUGAAGUAUUAAGCCUCACGCUUGUCUGCAUUAAAUUUCAACAGCCAUUUUCAGCCCAUUUUUCCAGCUGAUGCAGAUCCCUCUGCAAGACAUGAUGGCCUUCCUCACUGUCCACUGGACCUCCAAUGUCCCAAUUAGUUACAUUGGGAACAUAAGCUCAAGAACCAUUCAACCUGUGUAUCGAGAGUGAAUGAACAUUUUUGGUGAGGUGCUGUUACCUGAGAAAUUGAAGAAGAAUAGUUUGUGAGAACCUAAAAUAAUGUAGUUUGAGAAUGUAGAAGCAGUUUUCCUGAUGGAGUGUGUGCACAGUAAGACCUAGUGUUCAAAGGGGUCUCUGGACAGAUAUUGAAUGGAUAGGUAGAGUUUGACCAAGUUGCAGGGAAUGAAACUGUUCUGCAUUUAUCACAGUGAGAUGCCAAGUGAACAGAGAUGCAUCAAGUGGCUCAGAGAGAGGCAACACCUGCUGCUUUGAGCAAAAAUAUUGUUUGAACUUUAUACUAAAUGUACAAGAAUAGUCGGUAUGAAAUCAACUGCGUGAGAUUUUGUUUACCAGCCUCUUCUGGACAGUAACCUUGAACCAUUGGUGAGCAAACAUUUAUUGCCAAAGUUAUAGGAAGAACUCACAAAGCUCCUGUGUGUGCUUGAUCUAUUUAAACCUUUUUCAGACAAUACACGUAGACUUGUGCAAAAUGGUACAGAUUUGUAAUCAUACAAAGUGGAUUGAAUUUUAAUACAAGGGUUAAGUACCACUAUGGAACAUACUAUAGGAGAGUUAAGUCUGGCACAUUUCUGACAAUGGCCCAUGACUUUAGUCAUCCUUGUGGCAAACUUUCCAAAACAGAAUGGUAUUAAGCUUACUCUCGCUCCUUAUGCCAUUUGGCUAUGAAUAGAGCAGCCCAGAGGUUGGCCAGAUUAAUUAUGGGGAUAGUUAAACUUCAGAACAAAAUAUUACAGCCAUUUUUUUUUUGCCGAAAUGAGGCCAGCAUCAUGGUUUACAGCUGUGAACUCUUUAUGAAGUGUGUUUAAGAAUGCACUAUAGCCUUGUUCAACUAAGAUUGGCUUUUAGAGUCAAACAUUUGAGUUGGAGGCAUCACUAUGGCACUAAUCAGAAUUACUAAACUUUCAAACAUAGCGAGCAUGUUGAUGUCUUAGCCUACCCUAACAAGUCAGGCUCAAACAAGUAAGACGUAUGAAUUAUCAUAGUGAUUUGAGGAGUUCAGAUUUUUCUGGCUGAAAUUUAUGUCAAUCCAAAGUGGUCAUUCAGAUCUUGUAAACACUAAGCAGGAACCAAAUCUAGAUAAUAAACAAUUCAGCCGUGAAUUUGAGUUGGACUCAGUGGGUGUUUUUGGAUGUGCAGUGCCAAAUGCAAACAUAUUGACAGGGCUUGGAGUUGAGAUUUAUUAUUGAAUAGUUCAAGAGUAGAUUCAACAUCAGAACCUGGCAUAGAUCAGGUAAAUGCAAGCAGGCUUUUCCCACUGAGGUUGGGUGAGACUAGAACUGGACGUCAUGUG
This is a long non-coding RNA of Mobula hypostoma (lesser devil ray), 3891 nucleotides long. RefSeq lists it as uncharacterized. Lineage: Eukaryota; Metazoa; Chordata; Chondrichthyes; Myliobatiformes; Myliobatidae. The record is from RefSeq and is a predicted model, not a curated record. The transcript is spliced from 8 exons.